RNAcentral lists this ribosomal RNA (569 nucleotides) under uncultured bacterium. RNAcentral's name for it is "partial 16S ribosomal RNA". It matches the Rfam family "Bacterial small subunit ribosomal RNA", at positions 355 to 914 of the family's 1533-position model. The record is from RNAcentral.
UGGGGAAUAUUGGACAAUGGGCGCAAGCCUGAUCCAGCAAUGCCGCGUGUGUGAAGAAGGCCUUCGGGUUGUAAAGCACUUUUAUCAGGAGCGAAACGCUGUCGGCUAAUACCCGGCGGAACUGACGGUACCUGAGGAAUAAGCACCGGCUAACUUCGUGCCAGCAGCCGCGGUAAUACGAAGGGUGCAAGCGUUAAUCGGAAUUACUGGGCGUAAAGCGUGCGUAGGCGGUUUCUUAAGUCUGCUGUGAAAUCCCCGGGCUCAACCUGGGAAUGGCAGUGGAUACUGGGAGGCUAGAGUGUGUCAGAGGGUGGUGGAAUUCCCGGUGUAGCGGUGAAAUGCGUAGAGAUCGGGAGGAACAUCAGUGGCGAAGGCGGCCACCUGGGACAACACUGACGCUGAGGCACGAAAGCGUGGAGAGCAAAACAGGAUUAGAUACCCUGGUAGUCCACGCCCUAAACGAUGCGAACUGGAUGUUGGUCUCAACUCGGAGAUCAGUGUCGAAGCUAACGCGUUAAGUUCGCCGCCUGGGGAGUACGGUCGCAAGACUGAAACUCAAAUGAAUUGAC